AGAGUUUGAUCAUGGCUCAGGAUGAACGCUGGCGGCAUGUCUAAGGCAUGCAAGUCUAUCCCGCCGCAAGGCGAGAGGCAAACGGGAGAGUAACACAUUGGUAACCUACCUCGAACUCGGGUAUAACCCAGAGAAAUUUGGGACAAUCCCCGAUAGCCAUGGGGGGACAUAUGUCAUUCCCAUGUAAAGUUCCGACGGUUCGAGAGGGGCCUAUGGCUCAUCAGCUAGUUGGUAGGGUAACGGCCUACCAAGGCAACGACGAGUACCGGGUGUGAGAGCAUGACCCGGCCCACUGGGACUGAGAACUGCCCAGACACCUACGGGUGGCUGCAGUCAAGAAUCUUCCUCAAUGGCCGAAAGGCUGAAGGAGCAAUGCCGCGUGAUCGAAGACGCCCCUCGGGGUGUAAAGAUCUUUUCUGAGGGAAGAAUCCGUGACGGUACCUCAGGAAUAAGUCACUGCUAACUUCGUGCCAGCAGCAGCGGUAAUACGAAGGUGGCGAGCGUUAUCCGGAUUAAUUGGGCGUAAAGCGUCCGCAGGUGGUUUGUAAAGUCUUCGGUCAAAUCCUGAAGCUCAACUUCAGGGCUGCCGUAGAAACUCACAAGCUAGAGGGUGGGAGAGGCAAGCGGAAUUACCGGUGUAGCAGUGAAAUGCGUUAAUAUCGGUAAGAACACCAAAUGCGAAAGC
Molecule: ribosomal RNA, 685 nt
Filed under: uncultured bacterium
Lineage: Bacteria
Description: bacterial SSU rRNA
Rfam family: Bacterial small subunit ribosomal RNA
Source: RNAcentral